Molecule: long non-coding RNA, 962 nt
Organism: Serinus canaria (Common canary)
Lineage: Eukaryota; Metazoa; Chordata; Aves; Passeriformes; Fringillidae
Exons: 2
Source: RefSeq, a predicted model, not a curated record
AGACUGACAGCUCAAAGGUAGAAAUCAGUUUCCUAAUAGACAAACUAAAGCUCAUGUGUCUGAUAAGGGCAAACACAGCUCAGGGCAGAGCUGGGCUCUCACCUGCCCAUCCCCUCCCUGCUGGGUGCCCAAGGCCUUUUUGGAGUUUUGAGUGUCACCAACACAGGGGUGGGGAUGUGGCCCCAAAGCCCUGUCCCAAAGCAGGCUCAGCUCCCAGGCUUACCAGAGCCAGGGCUGCAAAUCCACCUUUGCAGACUCCCAACACAUGAAAUUACCAUAACCAGGACAUUUCAUGCUCCUCUCCCAUCAAGCUGUUUAGAGCAAAUUAAAUUUCUCCCUAACCAGGCUGUAACAGUUCAUGUUAGAUGUGGAUCUAAAUGUUAAUUGCAGUGACAAUAACAGGUCUGAUCCUGCCAUCCUUAUUUGAGUAAAACCUCCCACAGAAGCCAAAGGAAUUUUGCCCCGGAGAAGGCAGCUGGAUGCAGUCCCACAUUUCCAGUCUCUUGAAGAUGCCAGAAGCUCAUCACCCAGGCUGGAGCCUGGCUGCCACAGAAGCCGGCAAAGAAAGCAUUAAGGGAUGGAAGGUGAAACUCAGCACACGAGCUGUGAGAUUUACAGAGCAUCCCCCAUCCUGCCCGUGGCACAGCAGCCAAACCCUCCCUGAUGGGAGCCCAGGAACCCAGGCAGUGCCAGGGCAGCAGCUGGAGCUCACCCCAGCCUGCUCAGCGUGGCACAGACACCUCCUGAGCCACACCAGGGCUUUUGAGGAUGUGACUCAGUGGCUCAGAGACAGCUCCUCUGCUGGCCUUCCCCUGGUCCCUGCAUACAAAACACUUUGCAAAUGAAGUGUGAAGAUAAUAUGCUUUAUCAUGGGCAUUUAUUACCCGUGAUUGUGGUAUAAAUCUCCCUCCAUUCACAUACAUAUACAUAAGGUGUAUAUAAAUAUGCAGCAUCCAGCAGGA